This 5511-nucleotide long non-coding RNA is filed under the name Triticum aestivum (bread wheat). RNAcentral's name for it is "long non-coding RNA (TAES_LNC024713)". Lineage: Eukaryota; Viridiplantae; Streptophyta; Magnoliopsida; Poales; Poaceae. The record is from RNAcentral.
GCGGCGAUGAGCGUGGGCGCGGCGCGGACACGGUGGAGGCGCUCAAGGAGCGACGCGCCUGGCUGUGCCGAUGGAAUCACCACGAGCUCUCUCGUGCGUCCAGCAUCGGCUUUCUAAAAAUGAAAUAAGGUUCUCCCGCCCAUCCCCCGGUGAUACUUCUAGCAUCAUCAGAGGACGUGUGAAGGUAUGUAUCUUAUGGGAUCCGGUCAGCGUUUGUCGGAGGUGGAUACGCUUGAAUUCGGUCUUCGUUCGUCCGCGUCUGUGUGUCUGCGGGUUGGAUCAUUCCGAUUUAUGCUUCUCUUCAUUGGCGACGGUUAAUGUUCUGUUGCGCUGGUCCUAUGGGACCUUAGCAUGAAAACUUCCCAACUGUCUACUACAAUAAGGUUUGCCCGGUUUCAAUAAGGGGUGAUGCCGACGACGCGCCUUCGGCUCGCUCCAGUGCUUGUAAUGGUCACUGGAUGGUCUACGGACCUGUAUGUAUUUUUUACUUCUGCUAUUCUUUGUACUGACAGGUGAUGAAUAGGUGUUGAUAUUUUCUUCUAUGUAUUUGAUUAAAUAUGUUCUUUUUGUAAAACAUGGUUUUUUGACUAAAUUUAUAUGCCAUGCAUUUGGGACAGAGGGAAUACUACACUGGUAUCACUGGAAACCAUGCUGGUAGACGUUCGUUCUGCCAUCCCGUCCAAAGUUAAUCAAACCCUGUCCGGUGAACGUCUUUAUUUUACCCCGUCCGGUACUUCGCACUCCCGUGUGGAGGCGUGUCUCCGUCGGAUCUCAUGGGAUCCGGUCAGCGCUUGUCAGAGGCGGAUACACUUGGAUUCGGUCUUUGUUCGUCUGCGUCUGUGUGUGUUGGAUCCCUUCGAUUUAUGCUUCUCUUCAUUGGCGACAGUUAAUGUUCUGUUCGCUGGUCCUAUGGGACCUUAGCACGAAGACUUUCCGACUGUCUACUACAACAAGGUUUGCCCAAUUUCAAUGAGGAAGGGGCGAUGACGGCGACGCGCCUUCAGCUCACUCCAGUGCUUGUAAUGGUUACUGGAUGGUCUACGGACCUGCAUGUAUUUUUUUACUUCUGGUGUUCUUUGUACUGAUAGGUGAUGAAGAUAUUUUCUUCUAUGUAUUUGAUCAAUUUUUUUUAUAAAAUAUUGAUUUUUUGACUAAAUUUAUAUGCCAUGCAUUUGGGACAGAGGGAGUACUACACUGGUAUCGCAGGAAACCAUGCUGGUAAACGUUCGUUCUGCCAUCCCGUCCAAAAUUCAUCAAACCCCGUCCGGUGAACGUCUUUAUUUUACCCCGUCUGGUACUUCGCGCUCCCGUGUGGAGGUGUGUCUCAGUCGGAUCUCAUGGGAUCCGGUCAGCGUUUGUCGAAAGUGGAUACGCUUGGAUUCGGUCUUUGUUCAUCUACGUCUGUGUGUCUGCAGGUUGGAUUCUUUCGAUUUAUGCUUCUCUUCAUUGGCGACGGUUAAUAUUCUGUUGCGCCUGUCCUAUGGAACCUUAGCACGAAGACUUCCUGAUUGUCUACUACAACAAGGUUUGCCCAGUUUCAAUGAGGAAGGGGCGAUGCCGGCCACGCGCCUUCAGCUCGCUCCAGUGCUUGAAAUGGUCACUGGAUUGUCUACGGACCUGUAUGUAUUUUUUACUUCUGGUGUUCUUCGUACUGACAGGUGAUGAAUAUGUGUUGAUAUUUUCUUCUAUGUAUUUGAUCAAUUUUUUAUAAAACAUUGAUUUUUUUGACUAAAUUUAUACGCCAUGCAUUUGGGACACAGGAAGUACUACACUGGUAUCGCAGGAAACCAUGCUGGUAGACGUGCGUUCUGCCAUCCCGUCCAAUAUUCAUCAAACCCCGUCGGGUGAACGUCUUUAUUUUACCCCGUCCGGUACUUCGCACUCCCGUGUGGAGGUGUGUCUCCGUCGGACCUCAUGGGAUCCGGUCAGCGUUUGUCGGAGGUGGAUACGCUUGGAUUCGGUCUUCGUUCGUCUGCGUCUGUGUGUCUGCAGGUUGGAUCCUUCCGAUUUAUGCUUCUCUUCAUUGGCCACGGUUAAUGUUCUGUUGCGCUGGUUGCUACCUCUUGAGCAUGCAUUGGUUUUCCCUUAAAGAGGAAAGAGUGAUGCAACAAAGUAGCGUAAGUGCUUUCCUCAGUUUUUGAGAACCAAGGUAUCAAUCCAGUAGGAGACAACGCUCAAGUCACCUAGUACCUGCACAAACAAUUAAGAACCUUGCAACCAAUGUGAUAAAGGGGUUGUCAAUCCCUUCACGGUUACUCGCAAAAGUGAGAUCUAAUAAAGAUAGCAAAGUAAAUAUUUUUGGUAUUUUUGUUGUAUAGUGGAAAGUAAAGAUUGCCAAAUAGUAAACGAGAUGCGAUGUAAAUAAAAGAGAUGCAAUAUAAUAAAAAAGAGAACCGGGGGCCAUAGGUUUCACUAGUGGCUUCUCUCAAGAUAGCAUGUAUUACGGUGGGUAAACAAAUCACUGCCGAGCAAUUGAUAGAAAAACGCAUAGUUAUGAGAAUAUCUAGGCAAUGAUCAUGAAUAUAGGCAUCACGUCCGUGUCAAGUAGAUCGAAAUGAUUCUGCAUCUACUACUAUUACUCCACACAUCAACCGCUAUCCAGCAUGCAUCUAGAGUAUUAAGUUCAUAAGAACAGAGUAACACAUUAAGCAAGAUGACAUGAUGUAGAGGGAUAAACUCAAGCAAUAUGAUAUAAACCCCAUCUUUUUAUCCUCGAUGGCAACAAUACAAUACAUGCCUUGCUGCCCCUACUAUCACUGGGAAAGGACACCGCAAGAUUGAACCCAAAGCUAAGCACUUCUCCCAUUGCAAAAAAGAUCAAUCUAGUAGGCCAAACUAAACCGAUAAUUCGAAGAGACUUGCAAAGAUAUCAAAUCAUGCAUAUAAGAAUUCAGAGAAGAACCAAAUAAUAUUCAUAGAUAAUCUUGUUCAUAAAUCCACAAUUCAUCGGAUCUAGGCAAACACACCGCAAAAGAGUAUUACAUCGAAUAGAUCUCGAAGAACAUCGAGGAGAACUUUGUAUUGAGAAUCAAAGAGAGAGAAGAAGCCAUCUAGUUAAUAACAAUGGACCCGAAGGUCUGUGGUAAACUACUCACGCUUCAUCGGAGAGGCUAUGGUGUUGAUAUAGAAGCCCUCCGUGAUCGAUUCCCCCUCCGGCAGAUCACCGGAAAAGGCCCCAAGAUGGGAUCUCACGGGUACAGAAGGUUGCGGCGGUGGAAAAGUUGUUUCGUGGCUCCCCCUGAUGUUUUUAGGGUAUAAGAGUAUAUAUAGGCGGAAGAAGUACGUCGGUGGAGCUACGAGGGGCCCACGAGGGUGGGGGGCGCGCCCUCCUGCCUCGUGGCCGCCUCGUUGCGUCUCCGACUUCAUCUCCAAGUCUUCUGUUUUGCUUUCGGUCCAAGAAAGAUCAUCGCGAAGGUUUCAUUCCGUUUGGAUUCCGUUUGAUAUUUCCUUUCUGCAAAUAAAAUAGGCAAAAAAACAGAAACUGGCACUGGGCCUCCGGUUAAUAGGUUAGUCCCAAAAAUAAUAUAAAAAAGCAUAUUAAAGCCCAUUAAACAUCCAAAACAGAUAAUAUAAUAGCAAUGAACAAUAAAAAAUUAUAGAUACGUUGGAGACGUAUCACUGGUCCUAUGGGACCUUAGCACGAAGCCUUCCCGACUGUUUACUACAACAAGGUUUGCCCGGUUUCAAUGAGGAAGGGACGAUGCCGGCGACGCACCUUCAGCUUGCUCCAGUGCUUGAAAUGGUCACUGGAUGGUCUACGGACCUGUAUGUAUUUUUUACUUCUGGUGUUCUUCGUACUGACAGGUGAUGAAUAUGUGUUGAUAUUUUCUUCUAUGUAUUUGAUCAAUUUUUUAUAAAUCAUUGAUUUUUUGACUAAAUUUAUGCGCCAUGCAUUUGGGACACAGGAAGUACUACACUGGUAUCGCAGGAAACCAUGCUGGUAGACGUGCGUUCUGCCAUCCCGUCCAAUAUUCAUCAAACCCCGUCGGGUGAACGUCUUUAUUUUACCCCGUCCGGUACUUCACACUCCCGUGUGGAGGUGUGUCUCCGUCGGAUCUCAUGGGAUCCGGUCAGCGUUUGUCGGAGGUGGAUACGCUUGGAUUCGGUCUUCGUUCGUCUCCGUCUAUGUGUCUGCAGGUUGGAUCCUUCCGAUUUAUGCUUCUCUUCAUUGGCGACGGUUAAUGUUCUAUUGCGCUGGUCCUAUGGGACCUUAGCACGAAGACUUCCCGACAGUCUACUACAACCAGGUUUGCCCGGUUUCAAUGAGGAACGGGCGAUGCCGGCGACGCGCCUUCAGCUCGCUCCAGUGCUUGUAAUGGUCACUGGAUGGUCUACGGACCUGUAUGUAUUUUUUACUUCUGCUGUUCUUUGUACUGACAGGUGAUGAAUAGGUGUUGAUAUUUUCUUCUAUGUAUUUGAUCAAAUAUAUUUUUUUAUAAAAUAUUGAUUUUUUGACUAAAUUUAUAUGCCAUGCAUUUGGGACAGAGGGAGUACUACACUGGUAUCGCAGGAAACCAUGCUGGUAGACGUUCGUUCUGCCAUCCCGUCCAAAAUUCAUCAAACCCCGUCCGGUGAACGUCUUUAUUUUACCCCGUCCGGUACUUCGCACUCCCGUGUGGAGGUAUGUCUCCGUCGGAUCUCAUGGGAUCCGGUCAGCGUUUGUCGGAGGUGGAUACGCUUGGAUUCGGUCUUCGUUCGUCUGCGUCUGUGUGUGUUGGAUCCCUUCGAUUUAUGCUUCUCUUCAUUGGCGACGGUUAAUGUUCUGUUCGCUGGUCCUAUGGGACCUUAGCACGAAGACUUCCCGACUGUCUACUACAACAAGGUUUGCCCGAUUUCAAUGAGGAAGGGGCGAUGACGGCGACGCGCCUUCAGCUCACUCCAGUGCUUGUAAUGGUCACUGGAUGGUCUACGGACCUGUAUGUAUUUUUUACUUCUGGUGUUCUUUGUACUGACUGGUGAUGAAGAUAUUUUCUUCUAUGUAUUUGAUCAAAUAUUUUUUUUAUAGAACAUUGAAUUUUUUUGACUAAAUUUAUAGGCCAUGCAUUUGGGACAGAGGGAGUACUACACUGGUAUCGCAGGGAAUCAUGCUGGUAAACGUUCGUUCUGCCAUCCCGUCCAAAAUUCAUCAAACCCCGUCCGAUGAACGUCUUUAUUUUACCCCGUCUGGUACUUCGCACUCCAGUGUGGAGGUGUGUCUCCGUCAGAUCUCAUGGGAUCCGGUCAGCGUUUGUCGGAGGUGGAUACGCUUGGAUUCGGUCUUCGUUCAUCUAUGUCUGUGUGUCUGCAGGUUGGAUUCUUCCGAUUUAUGCUUCUCUUCAUUGGCGACGGUUAAUAUUCUGUUGCGCUUGUCCUAUGGAACCUUAGCACGAAGACUUCGCGAUUGUCUACUACAACAAGGUUUGCCCAGUUUCAAUGAGGAAGGGGCGAUGCCGGCGACGCGCCUUCAGCUCGCUCCAGUGCUUGAAAUGGUCACUGGAUGGUCUACGGACCUGUAUGUAUUUUUUACUUCUG